UACGUAGGUGGCAAGCGUUGUCCGGAAUUAUUGGGCGUAAAGCGCGCGCAGGCGGUCUUUUAAGUCUGAUGUGAAAGCCCCCGGCUCAACCGGGGAGGGUCAUUGGAAACUGGGAGACUUGAGUACAGAAGAGGAGAGUGGAAUUCCAGGUGUACCGGUGAAAUGGGCAGAUAUCUGGAGGAACACCAGUGGCGAAGGCGACUUUCUGGUCUGUAACUGACGCUGAGGCGCGAAAGCGUGGGGAGCAAACAGG
This 253-nucleotide unclassified non-coding RNA is filed under the name uncultured Bacillaceae bacterium. RNAcentral describes it as "contains 16S-23S intergenic spacer region". It matches the Rfam family "Bacterial small subunit ribosomal RNA", at positions 524 to 776 of the family's 1533-position model. Lineage: Bacteria; Bacillati; Bacillota; Bacilli; Caryophanales; Bacillaceae. The record is from RNAcentral.